AUGUCACACUUUCCACCUAGUUUAGCUGUGAACCUAAAGCUGCUCUUAGAAGUCUAUCUUUUAAGAGAAAGGAAAAACAUUACCCAGACCCAGGAGCACACAUCCUUCAAGGACGGUCUGCAGAGAUCAGAACACAAGAGUGUGCAUGCUCUACAAACAUGGCCAGCAGUUACCCAACACAGUGACCCAGAGACCAGGCCUCAGGCUUUCAUCCCAGCCCCAACCUACCCAGGGCAGCCACUCCUGAAGGGCCAGCAUCUAAGACAGGCAUGCGUCCUGGGCCUGCCCCACAGUCUGGGUGGGAGGGGCCCCAAACUGCCUUCUGUCCAACCCCAUGGAUUCUGGGCUGGAGAAGCCUGUGUUUCAGCUGAGCUAGGGUGGACCAGCCCCAGGCAGAGACCGCUGCCUCUCUCCCAUCUCCUCUGCGCUCGAGGAUGGAGGACCAUGGGGGGCUCCCACUCUGGCCCCUCCCCAACGGGGCUCUAUGAUGGGAUCCGGAAGCAGCAGGCUUCCUCCCAUGGUUGGAGUAGCUCUCUCCCCUCUGGCUUCUCCGGCUACAGCUGUGGGUUGAACGUGACUGGAGAAGCUGGAAACUGCCCCAGGGCUGGAAAAGAGGCUGUUAUCUGCCAGCAUGCAGCUUUGCCAACAUGAGCUCGUCUUCCCGCCAGGCUCCAUCUCCAGGUGUGAUGCUCAGCCCUCAGCUUCUCACCCACCUGCCAGAGAAAAACAUGAAAGCUGUGAUAACUGGGGGAGGGGCAGGAAGCAGAUGGGCAGAAGGCACCCCCAAGGUUGACUCUGCAGAGUUGGGGGCGCCCUCACCCCUGCUUUCUUACCACUCCACCACAGUGUUUUCAGGGCCCUGCUGAGCCUCAGGACAGGAGGGGGCUGCCCAGAGUCUCUGCCCAAAGGAAAGUGCGGCCUGAGACAAGAGGGUAUGAAGCCCACAUGGGACAAACCUCACAAACCACAGGGGUCAGUGAAUAGCCAGCGGUGACUUUUUCAUAGCAUCAGAUGUGCCCGCAUCUCACAGGGAGCAGCACAGCUUUGGGGGCACAGUAGGCCCGGGUCAGGCAAGUCCUCUCAGACCUCCGUGUGGCUGAUCCCAGCAGGCAGCGUGCUCUUCCAAAACAAGGGAAAGAGACCCACAGGCGUGUCAGUACACACUCCAGGACCGCAUCUAAGCAACUGGGCAGAGUCCCUGGAACCUGACGUGCUGCGUGCCUGCGGGGUAGGGGCGUGUAGGCGAUCUUUUCCACAAGUGGAAACUAUUUCAGCAGCCAUGCUCCAGCGCUAACACAGCCAGGUCCUCCAGGGCAGGAGCUCCUGACUUUCCAGUCACUUUCUUUGUUGCAGGAACAGACUAGCAAGGGCAGAUGCUGGCAUCUGUCUGCUGAUCAGCAUGGGUCCAAAGGGUGCGGAAUGAGGUUCUUCAGUCAGAGCCAUGGA
Molecule: long non-coding RNA, 1446 nt
Filed under: Bos grunniens (domestic yak)
Lineage: Eukaryota; Metazoa; Chordata; Mammalia; Artiodactyla; Bovidae
Description: lncRNA (ENSBGRG00000010342.1)
Source: RNAcentral